This 3689-nucleotide long non-coding RNA is filed under the name Chinchilla lanigera (long-tailed chinchilla). RNAcentral describes it as "lncRNA (ENSCLAG00000026498.1)". The record is from RNAcentral. Lineage: Eukaryota; Metazoa; Chordata; Mammalia; Rodentia; Chinchillidae.
GCUUGUAUCCCUCAGAAAGCUGGUGACUCCAGAGGCAGCCCUGGCUGGGGACCAUGGCAGAGGACAGCAGGAAAACAAGGUCCCUGCUCCUCCAGAGCACCACUGCUGGGUGAGUUUAAAAACCCAAGGGAGCAAUUUAGGGGCAAAAAAAGUUUAUUGAUCUUGCAUGUCACAGGAAUAGAAUACACCCAGAGGGAAACAAUACUCCCAUUUUGAAUAUCAUCAUUUGGAAGACAUCGGCACAGCAGAUACACAUUGCUUCAUAAAACUUUUGUCAUAUGUAUCUUAUUUCUCAUUAAAAAACUGUUUUUAGUACUGAGGAUUGAACACACUCUGAACAUCCUUAGCCCUUUUAAUUUUUUGAGAUGGCAUCCAAAUUGCCCAGGAUUGGCUCAAACUUGCAGUUUGAGCUGCCUCAGCCUUUGAGUGUUGGGAUUAUAGGUGCAUAUCGUCAUACCUGGCUAAGAACUGAUUUCUUAGAUCACCUUUAAAAAAACACUGCCACUGAAUUCUCUGGAAGGGCAAAUCCCCAGUCAGAGCUGCAGGGGUUAAAAAGAAUUAACUACUGAUUUCCUCCCUGCCUGGUAACUGGACCCAGGGCCUCAUGCACGAUGGUUUAGAACUCUACCAGUGAACUACAUUCCUUUGAUUCUUUAAAUGAAAAAGUCAAUGCUAAGGGGUCCACAGGCCUCAUUUAUCAGUUCCACUAAGAUCUUCAUGAAAGCCAGUUCUAAAUGGGCGAUCCUACUGUGGGAGCUACUUGCCAGAGUUGAGCAGAGUCCUACAUAAUUAAAGUCAGCUUGCACAGCCCAAGAGGGGGAAGUGUAGGACGCAGCUCAGCACUAAGCCCUGGCUCCCGCCUCCCUCAGCGGCUCUGCCUGUCAGAGUGCACAGAGCACGGUGGGCAGCAGGGCCCUGCGCGUUCCUGGCAGGCAGCAUCCUUAGACCUGUCUCUUUCCUGUGCCUUCUCAAGCAGCAUUACAGAAGGAUGUGCACUUCGGCAGCGAGGAACAAAGAAGAGACCAAAACCCCUGAUCACUGUGUGAGUCAUCUGAACUCAAAGGCAGCAGUGUUCCUGCCUGGGUUGCUCUCUGCCUUCGGGUCUGGCUCCUUCUGGUGCUCAGCUGCCCUACGUUUCUGGCUAUGGCUGGAGAGGCACUCCACUGCUAUUGGUAAUGCUGGUGUUUGUGCAAAAUUCAAGAUAAUUAAAAGACAAAUGCCAUUUCACAAACAAGUGUUCCAAAAACAUCGAGCUAAUUAUUAACACAAAAGGAUUUGGUAAGAUAUUCCUUAAAGGAGAGAAGUGCUGUGGCAAAGUCAACCAACCAAAUAACAGAAAAGCAUUAAAGAAAACCAUCACUCACCAAAGUGAAACUUCUGGACCGAGAGCUGCUGCUCCGGCUCUCCAGACUCCCUCCUCUGCUCAAGUCACUGCGUCUGCAGCUGGGUGACAUGUCAGAGUCCAUCUCGAGAGAGUCCGACUGGUGGUGGUAGACAGGCAUCCCCACAGGAACCUCAGGUGCUGGCUUGUUCACAGGAAGCGGGGCAGGGGCCGGGGCCCCAUCCUGAAGCAGAAGGGCGCUUCUAGAGAAAGCAAACACGGAACGCAACAGUCAGCACACCCAGCCAGUAAAAUGCUGUACUGUCAGCUUUCUGUCACUGGGACGAAACACCGACACUCGCAAUUCAAAGGCAGAGAGGUUUAUUUCGGCUCACGGUUCCAGAGGUUUAGUCCAUGAUCCAACGGCCCCAAGGCAGAAACAUCUCGGCAGAAGGGUGAGGCAGAGCAAAGCUGCUCACCUCAUGGCGUGGGAAAGCUGGAGAGGCAAGGGCUGGGCACCAGAUCUAGUCCCCAGGGUCCUGUCUGCAUGACUCACUUCCUCCAACGGGGCCCCCACACCCCUCAUGCUAUGAACUUGACAGUGGGUCAACCCAUCCAUGAGAUUAGAGACCUCACGAUCUAAUUACCUCCCCUGUAGUCUCUUAGUCCAAGUUAACAAUCAAGAUUGAACAGCACGAACGCCUUAUCCAUUGGACGCAGACGGUCAGCAUGCGCAGUAUUCAUCUGCACUCAGACUCAACCAUUACAGCAAAAGUAAUCAGGAAACAGCUUGUUUGGGGGUGCUGGUUUCUGUUUCUCCUUCACAUUGUUACCCAUUCUGAAGAUGUAAGAGUGAUUUUUAAGGAAAGACAGAUGUACUCAAACUUACUCUGGGGCUGAAAUGAUGCUUUAACAUCACACAGUGGAAGGAGGUUCUGUGUUCUCCUGCUUGCUCACAUUCACACUUUCCCUGGGUUUCUUUUUUUUUUUUUGCCUCAGGCACCACAAAACUGGCUCCUUCCCAGCUUACUGCAGCUCAGAGUUAAGUAAAGUGACAAAAAACUAAGACGUCAUCGAUGGAAAUUAGCUGAUGUCUUCAGGCUUGAAGACUCUUUGGAACCUGAUGUGACUGCAACCUCCACAUGAAAAGUAAAGUACCCUAAGUUAACAGUUACCAGGAAGUUCCUGUCUGUUUUACUUCCAGGAUCAAAGACAUGAAAAGUGUUCUUUCUAAUCUCUUAGAGUCACACUGUUCUCUGACCCCUUUAUAGCAGGAAAUUCAGCUCAGCUCCUGAACAACAACUGCAUUCUGCAGAACAUUCUAGAAGACCAAAGAAGAUGACUAUCUCCUGUUGAUUCAUAUUAAUAGAUACAUGACCAUUUAUGGUCUAAUCAAUAUUAAACACACCUUUAGGGGAACUCUGUAUCACCAAGACUUCAAAAAUUAUUAUGAAAACUUUCUUAGAAAAAUCCCACAGACAUCUCUCUCAAAACAGACUUUAUUUUAUUUAUUUAUUUUGGAGACUGGGUUUUUCUAAGUAGUACGGGCCUUGAACUCACUUAUGUAGCCCAGGCUGGCAUCACACUCAUGGUGAUCCUCCUGCCUUAGCCUCCCCAGUGCUGGGAUUAUAGGCAUGUUCCACCACACCUGGUUUAGAAACAGAUUUUUAAAAGUAUUUCUCACCCCAUUUCUCUUUACUUUUCAGGAGAAUCAGUACAGGUCAAAUAGCAAAUUGAGAGCAAGGUUAUGGAACCAGAAGAUUCUGAGAAUAUAUACCUUUUGUAAAUUAUCAUUAUUCCAAAUAGUAAAAAAGAAAAAAAGACCUAAAUGUUAACUAAAUGCCUAAAAUGAACCUAGGAUAAACACUGCGGCUAUAGCAGUGCAUUGACAGCACCGGCUAGAGCACUGUCUGGCGAAAGCAGACAGAGGCCCCCCAGCUAGCUGUCUCCAGGCUCCAAAGAACCAGAGUUCGGUGGGGCAGGCGGUGUGGAAAAGACCGGCUAAUUCUUAAACGCCUCCUAAUUUGCCGAAUCCCACCCCCCGACUCAGCUCCAGCAGCGAACGGCUCCUGGGGACUGGAGGGGGCUCCCACAGGAGUCUGCCCCGCCCACACACCCUGGAGAGGGAACCUGGGGAGGGAAGUGCUGGUGCACCCACACAGCCCAGGAGCUGGGACGCGCAGUCAGAGUGGGGCUCACGCUGGGCAGCGAGAGCAGCCACUGGCCGCCCUGAGCGUGGCCCAUGGUGUCAGCCUCUUGGGAGUCACCUCUUCCGGGUGCUGUUACAACUUAAGAGCUGUGAAACUGUAAUAUUUAGGCUGCUGUAUACGAUUCUUCUGAAAGAAUAUGAGGAAGCCAACCAGGAUCU